CCCUUCGUGGUGUAGUGGUCAGCACGCAGACGUGUAGUCUAGAGGGCCGUGGUUCGAGUCCCGGCGAAGGCG
RNAcentral lists this transfer RNA (72 nucleotides) under Stegodyphus mimosarum. It matches the Rfam family "tRNA". From Rfam's summary of the family: Transfer RNA (tRNA) molecules are approximately 80 nucleotides in length. Their secondary structure includes four short double-helical elements and three loops (D, anti-codon, and T loops). Further hydrogen bonds mediate the characteristic L-shaped molecular structure. tRNAs have two regions of fundamental functional importance: the anti-codon, which is responsible for specific mRNA codon recognition, and the 3' end, to which the tRNAs corresponding amino acid is attached (by aminoacyl-tRNA synthetases). tRNAs cope with the degeneracy of the genetic code in two manners: having more than one tRNA (with a specific anti-codon) for a particular amino acid; and 'wobble' base-pairing, i.e. permitting non-standard base-pairing at the 3rd anti-codon position. Lineage: Eukaryota; Metazoa; Arthropoda; Arachnida; Araneae; Eresidae. The record is from Rfam by way of RNAcentral.